AAAACCCUACCGUGUUCGAUUCGGAUUAGGUAACUUUUGUUCCAACACCAUUUGAAAGGGGCCUCAGCUCCGGGUGGGGCGUGAGUGACGCCUAUGUGCGAAGUCGCAAACCUCCCGGGAGGGCACCCACCUGCAGGGCGCAGGGAUAUAAAUGUUACCAUCCAGGCGGCAUGGUGGGGUUCGU
Molecule: non-coding RNA, 184 nt
Filed under: Bacillota bacterium
Lineage: Bacteria; Bacillati; Bacillota
Description: Firmicutes bacterium (anaerobic digester metagenome) 6S RNA
Rfam family: 6S / SsrS RNA
About the family: E. coli 6S RNA was the first non coding RNA to be sequenced, but its function was unknown until recently.
Source: RNAcentral